UGGGGAAUAUUGCAUAAUGGGCGCAAGCCUGAUGCAGCCAUGCCGCGUGUGUGAAGAAGGCCUUCGGGUUGUAAAGCACUUUCAGCGGGGAGGAAGGCGAUAAGGUUAAUAACCUCAUCGAUUGACGUUACCCGCAGAAGAAGCACCGGCUAACUCCGUGCCAGCAGCCGCGGUAAUACGGAGGGUGCAAGCGUUAAUCGGAAUUACUGGGCGUAAAGCGCACGCAGGCGGUCUGUCCAGUCGGAUGUGAAAUCCCCGUGCUCAACCUGGGAACUGCAUUCGAAACUGGCAGGCUAGAGUAUUGUAGAGGGGGGUAGAAUACCAGGUGUAGCAGUGAAAUACGUAGAGAUCUGGAGGAAGACCGGUGGCGAAGGCGGCCCCCUGGACAAAGACUGACGCUCAGGUGCGAAAGCGUGGGGAGCAAACAGG
Molecule: ribosomal RNA, 429 nt
Filed under: Chloroflexota bacterium
Lineage: Bacteria; Bacillati; Chloroflexota
Description: Chloroflexi bacterium partial 16S ribosomal RNA
Rfam family: Bacterial small subunit ribosomal RNA
Source: RNAcentral